This is a long non-coding RNA of Hylaeus volcanicus, 3973 nucleotides long. RefSeq lists it as uncharacterized. The transcript has 3 exons. The record is from RefSeq and is a predicted model, not a curated record. NCBI's taxonomy places the organism in Eukaryota, Metazoa, Arthropoda, Insecta, Hymenoptera, Colletidae.
UUUCUACGUGAGGGUGUGGAAUUUUUAUUCCUGGUGUCGCUAGUCAGAAACUACGCGGACGUUGUACGGAACAGACGUUCCUGAAACCACUUCUUUGCGUUUUCGCGGUGCGUUCAAGUAUAGACAGGAAGACAGAUAGAUAAGAAAAGUUAAGACACUUAAGGACCUAGGAUGGAUAACUGACACUUCAUAGGUUAACAACGGGACUAAUUAUUAACGACUUCGGUGUUGCAAACUGACAUAUACUUGGAAACGUUUGGUAAUAUUCUAAAAAUUCAUUUUUAAAAAGGAAGAGAGUACAGGAUAUACAAUACAAUAAAGGAAUACGUGUGACGACGCUAUGACCGUUCGCUCGCGGUCAAUCAAUCGAACUAAUUAAUUGAACAAAAACCAAUCAUUCGGCUCGUGAGACAUCCACUGAACGGGACGUCAAUCGAUAAAGCUAUUUUACGAUCGAAACUAAACGGCCGAAAUACUCCAUUUCGAACAGCUUCCUCAUAUUUAAAUUCAUAUGCGAAAUAAUAUGUAAGUCCUAGAAUAUCUUUGAUUAAGAUGUUACGAUACUCGAACCAUGUUUUUCUGCCAUAGUUCGAUCUACGGAGUGUGUACACCAUCUCCAUCGUUUACCGAUACAUGUAAUAGCAUCUAUGCAUGCUCGAGAACUUUGUACUAUUUUCAUUUUGUAUUUUUCAUCAUUCGGGUAUUUUCGCUGAGAUGGUAAUAGUCCAACAUUUUGACAUCAAAAGAUACACGGUCUGUCUAAAAAGAAACCGAACUAUUGCUAUAAAAAGAAAAAAGUACAAGUAAAGUUUUUACACAAAAUAAUCUUCGUAUAUUUACUCAAAAUAAUCUUCCUCUGCGUCAAUACUGCUUGUAGACCGCGUAAUUAACAUUUCGAAAGACCUUUGCAGCUCUUGUUUUGGUAGCCCGUUUAGUACGGCGGUUACAGCGGCCUGAAUCUCCGAAACGUUGCUAUAAUGUGUCCCUUUCAUUGGAAUUUUCAAUUUUGGGAAAAGUAAUUAAUCGCAGGGUGACAGAUCAAGCGAGUAGGGUGGAUGAUCCAAGGUAACAAUGCCUUUUUUAGCCAAAAAUUGACGCUCAAUUGCGGCUUUGUGUGCAGGUGCAUUGUCGUGCAGCAACGUCCAACUUCGUCUUCAAUGGACUCUCGAUCGUUUUUAAAUCGAGCGAACCACUCGUAAACUCGUGUACGGCUUAGGCAUUCAUCCCCAUACACUUGUUUUAAUAACGUAAGCGUUUCGGUAAAAGUCUUUUUCAAUUUAACGCAGAACUUAAUAUUAGCGCCCCAUUGCGGUAUUCCAGCAAGAGCAAGCGUCACAAAACGUCCGUUAUAUUUCAAGUCACACAACGCAAUGUGAACGAUCGAUUCAUAUGAUUAUCUUUUAUUCUUUUAUUAUCUGUAACUAGAUGGCGCGAUUAGAAACAAUUUUAGAGCAAAAGUUCGGUUUCUUUUUGGACAGACCGUGUACAUCUCUCUCGCGACACUAAUACAUCUAAAACAAGUCUUUCUACAUGUAUUUCGCUUUCCUUCAAGAGGAUCAUUCGAGACUGAUAACAUUCUACCAAACUAAUCAUUGCAAUUAGCGGAUCGUACAACCAGACCCUGAAAUCAUCGAUGAUGAUCGUCGCAGAACGAUCCAGAGCGAUGGUAGAAGCAUAACCAGCGUUACGCUAAUCGAGUCCGAGGGUGGGGAGGAAGAGAAACAAAGUUAUUCAUCAGUCGCAUUUACUGCAUCGCUAUAAACGACCGACUCGUUGUCGUUUAAUGGCCAGAACGUCGCCAUUAAUUCGCAGGUGUUGCAGCUGCACGCGCAGUGGACGCGUACGAUGCACCACCGUGAAUUCGCGCCAUUCAAUUGCAACAUGGACGCGCCCACGAAUGCAUUGUGCAUCGGCAUUUCAAAUAUGGAUUGAAGGGGUACUCUUAUUUUCUAUUUUAUUGGUUACUGGAUAUUUUAUUGGUUAUCGCAGCUCCUAAAUUUGACAAUUUAUUUUGGGAGUGUGACAAAUGGAAUAGAAUUUCUUUUCAGAGUGUUUAUUUAAGGCAUACUGAAGAACGAGAAACAAUUUUUUUAUUGUCAUUUUCAUACAAAAUGGCGGCGACAAAGCCCGUCGUCGAAGACAGCUUUUUUGAAAACACCAAGAGAAUAUUGUUGUGAAGCUACUGUAAAAAUUUCAAAUGGAUCCAUGCAAUAGUCACUGAGAAAUCCGUCCUCCCAAUUUGAAGAAAGUGGUUUCAAUAAAAACGCGUUUAAAGUUUUCUAAACACUUUAAUCGCGCUCUGAGGCACUGCGGCAAAAUCGAUAAUUCAACCUUUUGACAUUUGGUUUUCGCUAUAAAUCAAAUGACGUAUUAUUUUUAUGACCCUAAAGUAUCGUUUAAGCAAAAAAAAAAAAAUCGAGUUUUUGAAAAUCCUAGAGUGGUUUUACCCCUUAAGGUAUCUGUAUUUUUUAAAUGGAUGAAUUCCCGAAGUUAAAAUUUGAUAUUUGGUGUUCUUCCACACUCUUCGUAACAUCCCCCAAAUUUCAUAUCAAUUAGCCACCGAUACCUUUCGGAAGUAAUAUCCUUUUCAGAUAUACGAAAUCGCAGAAGAUCGAAAAUCAAAAUUAAGAAAUAUUUAUUAUUUCGCAAAAGCUUAAGCCCCGUUCGAACUGUCGCGUGACGUGAAUCUUCGACAAUGAACGCAAUGAGUGUUGCGAUUGCCACAUCGUCUUCCAAGCAGAAACUCGUUUCGAUUGAAAUGCGAACAAACACGUGUCGACAGGAUGCGUUCGAUUGCACAGAUGCACGUGCAACUGAUUUGUCGUUCGACCAAUGAAGCAUUCCCUUUCCUAAACAGACGAACCGGCCGCGAAGGAAAUAGAAAGACGCGAAACAAAAAGAAGAAGCAACUAUCGAUAAUGAUCUUCCGCAGACUCUGUACGGUUAUCGCGUAAAUAAAGCGAGGGAAUUAUCAUUUAAAACCGGUAUUACGACUAUCAACCGGGCGCGCACUUCUACUGGCCUACGGUUCUAACGGAAUAUGAUUUGUCUAUAACGCCGUCGUUGCGUGUUUCGUCAUCGCUGAAUAGCAACUUUUGCAAUAUUCCUGUUCGUUAAAUGUUCAUUGGUUUCUCCGGUGAAUAGGUUCUAGACCACGCUCGUGAGAAUACAGAAAAUAUUUUAAUUUAGCUUUUCUUUUCUUCAUUUUCGUUUAAUUUUACUUUUUUGUUAUAUAAGAUAAAAAUAAAAGUGAAUGAAAUAAAAUGUCGAUAUUAGUGCUCAGUCAUUCUUUUUCGUCGUUCUUUUAUUUGUAAUUAAUUUUAUUCUAGUACUAAAGAAAAUAAAGUGCAUUGUGGGUAAUAUAUCAAUGCUACACUAAAAACGAUUUUCAUAGAAUGCAAGAAAUCAUCUUCGGUGAUAUUAAACCUCGCACAGACUUUUCCAUUAUGUUAUUAUUUUUAAAUAAUUUUUCUUUUACGUAAAAAAAAAAAAAAAUUAAAUUACAACCGAGUAAAAUAGCAAUGUAAAGUAUAAAAUUAUUUACAUAAGAUGCAAGAAAUCAUCGUCGCUGGUAUCGGAGCUGUUACAUAACGUUUUGGAUACACUUGUCCCAUUAAUUUUAAUUCUAUUAAAUUAAUGAUUAAAUUCAAGAGACAUAAAAAACACAUACUACACAGACAAAUUUAGAAAAAAUAUAUACAUGUUAAACCGUAUUUUUGCUCGUACCAUUAUUUGUUUCGAUACAGUUGUGAAACUUAUCAUAAGCAAAACUGUCGAAACGUGCAAACAUUUAAUUUGAAACUUAACAGAGAUCAAUCCCCCUCGACAAUGAAAUUUAUUCGCAGUGUUUAACAAGCUCGAUACACCGCAACGUCCACGAUAAAUUCGCCGUUAUUUGUAUUUUAAGUUAUCUAGAAUUGCAUCGGACAAAGUUAACGCGCGCAGUCGUUGCAGCGUCUGCACGAUUACACGA